RNAcentral lists this non-coding RNA (21 nucleotides) under Arabidopsis thaliana (thale cress). Lineage: Eukaryota; Viridiplantae; Streptophyta; Magnoliopsida; Brassicales; Brassicaceae. The record is from RNAcentral.
UCUUAAUGGUGCUGCAUCUGC